UAAGACGUAGGGAGCGAGCGUUGUCCGGAUUCAUUGGGCGUAAAGCGCGCGCAGGCGGCCAUGCCAGUCGGGUGUGAAAAUCCGGGGCUCAACCCCGGACCUGCAUCCGAUACUGCAUGGCUAGAGGUAGGUAGGGGAGAUCGGAAUUCCUGGUGUAGCGGUGAAAUGCGCAGAUAUCAGGAGGAACACCGGUGGCGAAGGCGGAUCUCUGGGCCUUACCUGACGCUCAGGCGCGAAAGCUAGGGGAGCGAACAGGAUUAGAUACCCUGGUAGUCCUAGCCGUAAACGUUGGGUACUAGGUGUGGGCGGUAUCAACCCCGUCCGUGCCGAAGCUAACGCAUUAAGUACCCCGCCUGGGGAGUACGGCCGCAAGGCUA
RNAcentral lists this ribosomal RNA (377 nucleotides) under uncultured bacterium. RNAcentral's name for it is "bacterial SSU rRNA". It matches the Rfam family "Bacterial small subunit ribosomal RNA", at positions 521 to 896 of the family's 1533-position model. The record is from RNAcentral.